AUCACAUAAAUUUCCAAUCACAACUUGCCACAUCAUCACACUCUUUUCGUCAAAAACUUUCUCGUUGUGUGGGAACUGGGAAUCAUCCGCGAGGCGUUGUAUAACAUUGUGAAUGCACUCACAGAGGAUCUAAGCUCCAUUGCUGACAGAGGCACACAAUUCCCCUGUUUUAUCUCUUCAACCGUUUCUCCCAUUAAACCCACUUUAUAUCCCAUUAGCUGCACACUAUCCCACUUAAAUACGCAAUGAAUUCAAGAAUUUCAGGUGAAAGUUCUUGAAAACAGAAAGUGACAACAAAAGGAGAGGAAAAAAGAGCCAUAGCCAUGCUAUCGGAGGAUAUUGAAAGCAGUGGAGAGAAGAGUAAGGGAAACAAUAGUAAUUCAUCAGUAACCUAUGCAGUUGAAGAUAGAAAGACCCAAUGGACAUCCUGGUUGAUCCCACUUUUUGUUGUGGCUAAUGUUGCGAUGUUUGUGAUCGAGAUGUAUGUGAAUGAUUGCCCAAAACAUAUAAGGAAUCGGGGGUUUGUUCCUGUUCAUGAAAGAAAAUGUGUUGCUAGGUUUCUUGGGCGGUUUUCUUUCCAGCCCUUGAGGGAGAAUCCUCUGGUUGGGCCUUCUUCUUCAACGUGAGGAUUUUUACUCUCUACCCUUUUCUCAAUUAUGAAUUUGGGUUUUGUGGUGUAAAAAUUGAGUAUUUGCUAUUUAUUAUUGUGCAAUAUUAUUUGAAUUAUUGUUUUAUUUAUUUUUUAGGACAAAUUUUUGUUGUAUUGGUGAAGGACAAGCUCUUUCAAAUUCUCUCUCUCUCUCUCUCUCUCUCUCUCUCUUUUUGCUUAAUUUUUAGUAUUGCCUGUCUUGGACUUUCUGGUGCAGACUGCGGAGUAUGUGUAAUUGUGUACUGCUAAUUAUUUUGAGGAGAAAGUUUGUUAAAUUGAUUAAGUACAUGUUUUCUUUGCACGGGAUUGGAGUUUUCUAGCCCAAAAACUGAGUCUUUACCCUAUAGUGUAUGCAAAAUAUGCAUUUGUUUCUAGUAAGAAGUAUGGAGUGGUUUGGUUUGUUUAUUGGGCACGUUGUAAAUUGGCAAAGUGUUCAACAAUGAAUUUCAACCAUAUGUUUUAUGGGACUCAUAACUUUUUAACCACAUAUUUUAUCAACUUUUAACAAAAUUUGUUAAAAAUCUGAUUUUAUGAAUAUCUAAUCCCUGCUUGUUUCCCGACAUCUGAUCUGAAUUGAUACCGUCUUAGUACACGGUUCUAUUUUUAUUUUUUGGNNNNNNNNNNNNNNNNNNNNNNNNNNNNNNNNNNNNNNNNNNNNNNNNNNNNNNNNNNNNNNNNNNNNNNNNNNNNNNNNNNNNNNNNNNNNNNNNNNNNNNNNNNNNNNNNNNNNNNNNNNNNNNNNNNNNNNNNNNNNNNNNNNNNNNNNNNNNNNNNNNNNNNNNNNNNNNNNNNNNNNNNNNNNNNNNNNNNNNNNNNNNNNNNNNNNNNNNNNNNNNNNNNNNNNNNNNNNNNNNNNNNNNNNNNNNNNNNNNNNNNNNNNNNNNNNNNNNNNNNNNNNNNNNNNNNNNNNNNNNNNNNNNNNNNNNNNNNNNNNNNNNNNNNNNNNNNNNNNNNNNNNNNNNNNNNNNNNNNNNNNNNNNNNNNNNNNNNNNNNNNNNNNNNNNNNNNNNNNNNNNNNNNNNNNNNNNNNNNNNNNNNNNNNNNNNNNNNNNNNNNNNNNNNNNNNNNNNNNNNNNNNNNNNNNNNNNNNNNNNNNNNNNNNNNNNNNNNNNNNNNNNNNNNNNNNNNNNNNNNNNNNNNNNNNNNNNNNNNNNNNNNNNNNNNNNNNNNNNNNNNNNNNNNNNNNNNNNNNNNNNNNNNNNNNNNNNNNNNNNNNNNNNNNNNNNNNNNNNNNNNNNNNNNNNNNNNNNNNNNNNNNNNNNNNNNNNNNNNNNNNNNNNNNNNNNNNNNNNNNNNNNNNNNNNNNNNNNNNNNNNNNNNNNNNNNNNNNNNNNNNNNNNNNNNNNNNNNNNNNNNNNNNNNNNNNNNNNNNNNNNNNNNNNNNNNNNNNNNNNNNNNNNNNNNNNNNNNNNNNNNNNNNNNNNNNNNNNNNNNNNNNNNNNNNNUUUGAUUAAUCAUCUCAUCAAACAUAAUUACAACCUCGGUUUAUAACAAACACAAGACACUACCAUCAAAUGUUAAGGACGAUGCUAGUUACAAUUUUAUCGAUCUUAAUGAUGAGACUUUCUUGGCUGAUAUACUAGAAUUAUGUUUAAUAUAUGUGAAAAUGUAGUUAGUUACAAUUUCCCCCUAAUAUUUUCGAUUCUUCGGCUCAAAUGCAAAUCCGAGGCCAACUGUGCUACGUGUACAGAAGGGGGUUUUACAGAAGCCCUACAGACAACUCAAGGUGGGAGAUUGGAAUUUUUUUUCCCAACCCAUGAGUCUCGCGUGGAGCUGACCUCACGUGUCUCUUCUGGAGGGGCUCUAUGAACUCCUCCACUAUGCAAAUAUUUUUCCCCAUCCGAGGCACUUGUCAAAACUAAGUCCACAUAGAAUAAGGUGGUGGUGGUAUCCACACAAUUUGGGCAGGACCAAGAGGGCUUAGACCUAUCCAUUAUCCUAAUAAAGCUAAUAAAAUAACACUUACUAGCAAUAUAAAACAAGUCUAACAAAUAAACGUCUGUCUGCACGAUUUCAUGAAAUUCUGUACCUAUAUUAUUACAUGACAAUAAUUAAAUUGUGAAGUACUAAGGCAGGAAACAUCUUUAGAAAUUAGAAAGGAAAAUAUACAAAGGUAACUGCAAUAGAACAGAACUUCACGUAAUUUCCAGUUAUCACCACAUCCAACUCAGAUUGCUGCAACCAAAGUAGUAGUCUACUUGUUCUUAUUAGCAAAAGUAGAAAUAAAAAAUGAAGAAUAAUAUAGCCACAGGUAGUAAAUGUGUCAUAUUUCAUUUUCAAUGAAUCCGAUUAUUUCAAUUGUUUAGAAUACCCUUGUUUUACACUCUGCCAUCGCUCUUCUUUACGAGUACCUCUCAAGUUAAUCAUCUAUAUAAGCUACAAUAGAAAAAACAGUAUUUUCAUUUUUUUUAUAUUUAAAACAGUAGAUGGACUGACAUUCACUAUCUUUAGAUAAAUUGUCCAGUUCAAAUUGGACGGGAUCCGAAUCUAACAAAUAGGCACAGCCCAUUAGAAACACAUGGAGAACUUACCCCAAACACAGGGAAUUACUCACAGGGGCCUGUUAAGCCCCUAUAAAUGAAUUAUGGGGAAAUGAGUUGGAAUAGCUACUCCUAAGUGUCAUUUUGUCUAAAUGGCCUUUCACCAAAUUCUUUAAAAAUAAGAAAACUGAAUUAUUUUAAAGUAUCAAAAGUCUAUUUUAUCCUUUUCUUCCAUAACCAAAUAAAUGAAGGAUUUUUGGCAUUUUCUCCUUCAUCCCCCACGUAAAUCUUUCUUCCCCAAAUUUACAAUUGCAGAAUUAAAUAUUCUACUCCUUUAAAUUCCCAGAUACUUCUCAUUCAAGUCAAAAACAAUAUUUUCUCCUUCUUCUAAGGCCAAAAAUUGUGCAGAGUUUUAAAGUGGCGGUGGGUUUGGGGCUAAUAGGUUGAAUAAAGUGAGUAUUUAUGCUCUUGAAAUUGGCAGUUGCAGUAAUGGUGGUGUGCAACAACGGUGGGUAUGAAGGAUCUACAUGCCGGAACCUUUUUUUUUUUUUUUUUUGUUGAUGAUAGACAAUUUUUUUUAGAUUAUAUAAUUGGUAAUUGUUUUAUUUUCAAACUCUUCUUGUAGUUUAGUUGGUGAAAACUUACAUUUAUACAUAGCAAGUCCCAAGUUUGAAUCCUUUUUCACCCAAUUAAUGGAGCAACAUUUUUAUUUUUAAAAUAUUUACCAAAAUUAACUCCAUAAGGAAUGAAUUCGAACUUCUGACCUUUAGUUAAAAUAUUGGAAGCUUAACCACGUUGCCAAUAGUUGAAUGUUGAUUUUAAAUUUAACAAAAUAAUAUAUGUUGAUUCGAACCUGUAACGACAUUCAAAUCGUUUUAGUACAAAUUUGAUGAGUUUGAAAUCGGUUCAUUACAAAUCACAAUUACAACGAUAUAGAUAUCGUUUCUUUUUAUACAAAACGAUAAUUAUAUCGUUCUGGCUAAUAAUAAUGAUUCGAUCGUCCACGACCAUCCAUCAUGCCUUCAACAUACGUAGGAUGAUCAAAAGAUGUCAUAAAGCAAGCUUAAAAAGAGCGAACGAAGAUACUUUUCGUUGAAAUAGUUCGAAUGUAGUAUACAAUCAUGGGACACGCAAAUGUUUCCAUAAUUUCUAUCGAGUGAGAUCGAACCCAUUUGAUUACCUAUUUUGAUCAUCCUACUUAUGGCAAAUGCAUGUUUGAUAGUCGUGAACGGUCGAAUCGUUGUUUUUAGCAAAAACGAUAUAAUUAUCGUUUUACUUUAACUGAAACGAUAUAUAUGUAGUUUUAGUUAUGAUUUAAACUAAAACGAUAUCAACGUCAUCGAACUUAUACUGAAACGAUAAUGAUAUCGUUAUGCAUUAAAAUCACAAGUAAAGUAACGACAUUUAUAUUGUUUUAGUACAAAUUUGAUGGGUUGGAAAUCUUUUCAAUACAAAUCACAAUUACAAAGAUAUAGAUAUCGUUUCUUUUCAUAUAAAAUGAUAAUGGUAUCGUUCUGGUUAAAAACAAUGAUUCGACCAUCCACGAGCACCCGUUGUGCCUUCAACAUACGUGGAACAAUCAAUAGAGGUCAUCAAGUGGAUUGAUACCACUUGAAUGGCUUAAAAAGAACGAAUGAAGAUACUUUCUGCAGGAAUAAUUCGAAGGUGGUAUGCAAUCAUGGGAACACAAAUGUUCCCAUAGUUUCUUUCGAAUGAGAUUGAAUCCACUUGAUUGCCUAUUUUGAUCAUCUUACAUAUGUUAAAAAAAAAAGGUUAAACCCUAACCUUAAGGGUCCCCCACCACCCCUACCCUAGAGUAUCGUGAGGGAGGUAAAUCGCAGGUUAUGCCUCCAAGGGUACAGGGUGGAAGGUUGCUUGUACACUUGCGCUUACCCAAGAGCCAAAUCCAUAUUUCAGGAUUUGAACCCCUGACGCAGUAGCCUCAAGCAUGUCUGGUGGUCGUGGACAGUCGAAUCGUUAUUUUUAUCAGAAACGAUAUAAUUGUCAUUUUACUUUAACUGAAACGAUAUAUAUGUAGAUUUACUUAUGAUUUAAACUAAAAUGAUAUCAACGUUGUCGAACUUGUACUAAAACGAUAAUGAUAUCGUUAUGUAUCAAAAUCACAAGUAAAGUAAAGAUAUUCAUAUCCUUUUAGUACAAAUUUGACGAAUUUAAAAUCAUUUCAAUACAAAUCACAAUUACAUCGAUAUAAAUGUCGUUUCUUUUCAUAUAAACGAUAAUGGUAUCAUUCUGGCUAAAAACAACAAUUCGACCGUCCACAGGCACUCGUCCUGCCUUCAACAUAAGUGGGACGAUCAAAAGAGGUCAUCAAGUGAGUUGAUACCACUCGAAUGGCUUAGAAAGAGCCAACGAAGAUACUUUCUGCCAGAAUAGUUCGAAGGUGGUAUGCAAUCACGGAAACACAAAUGUUCCCAUAGUUUAUUUCGAAUGAGAUCGAACCCACUUGAUUUCAUAUUUUAAUCAUCUUAUAUAUGUUAGAUGCAUGUUUGGUGGUCGUGAACAGUCGAAUCAUUGUUUUUAUGAGAAACGAUAUAAUUGUAGUUUUACUUUAACUGAAACGAUAUAUAUGUUGUUUGAGUUAUGAUUUAAACUAAAACGAUAUCAAGGUCGUCGAACUUGUACUGAAACGAUAAUAAUGUCGUUAUGUAUCAAAAUCACAAGUAAAGUAACGAUAUUCAUAUCGUUUUAGUACAAAUUUGACGAAUUUGAAAUCGUUUCAAUUCAAAUUACAAUUACGACGAUAUAGAUAUCGUUUCUUUUCAUAUAAAACGAUGAUGUUAUCGUUUUGGCUAAAAACAAUUAUUUGACCGUCCACGAUCGCUUAUCGUGCCUUUAAUAUACGUAGAACGAUCAAAAGAUGUCAUCAAGUGAGUUGAUACCACUCGAAUAGCUUAGAAGGAGCGAAUGAAGAUACUUUUUGCUGGAAUAGUUCGAAAGUCUUAUAAAAUCAUGGGAAUACAAAUGUUCCCAUAAUUUCUUUCGAGUGAGAUCGAACCCACUUGAUUAUCUAUUUCGAUCAUUUUACAUAUGUCUGGUGGUCGUGGACUAUCGAAUAAUCGUUUUUAGACAUAACGAUAUGAAUAUCGUUUUAUUUUCGAAGAAUCGAUGUAUAGGUCGUUUUAGUUCUUAUUUGAACUGCAACGAGUUCGAAUAAUCGUUAUGUACCAAAUCACGAUAUAACGUAACGUCGCCCAUAUCGUUUCAUUACAAAUUUGACAAGUUCAAAAUCGUUAUAUUUUAAAUAAUAAUUAUAACGAUAUUGGUAUUGUUUCUUUUCACUUGCAACGACAAUUAUAUCAUUAUGCUUAAAAAAGAUGAUUCGACCGUCCAUGGCCACCCGCCAUACGUCAGUCAUACAUAUGACGAUAAAAAUAGGCCAUCAAGCAUGUUCAAUCUCACUCAAACGAACCUACGAAAAUAUUUGUGAUUCCAUAAUUGUCUUUCACAUUCGAAUUGUUUCAAUAGAAACAUGUAUCUUCUUUGGCUCUUUCUGAAAAUUGUACUGAAACGACAUGGACGUUGUUUACUUAUUCUAUGGUGUGCGCCUAAGCCUCUUAACUAGUUAAGCAAUGUGUAUUUUAUAUCGAAACAACAUACACAUCGUUGUCGUGUUUCAAGAACGAUUUCAAUGUCGUUACGCAAAUCAAUUAAGCAGUAUGUUUAUAAUACCGAAACGACAUAGAUGUCGUUUUGUGUUUCAGGAAAGAUUUCAAUUUUGUUAUAAGGACAUUUUAGUCCUUUACAAAAUUGAAUUUUCCAUGCUUAAUAAUUUUAGUCCUUUUAAACAAAAAUCUUAGAUGUUGGUCUUCUUCAACUAACGUUUAGUUUGACUUGUCUUUUUAACUCAAUCCCCCAUGAAUUAUAGCAUAUUUCCUUGAUAGGAUAAAGCUUCUUUGCCAGAAUAAUUUUACAAAAAAAUUGACAUAAUUGUAUGUGUCAAUUAAUAAUUGGAUGAAAAAAUUGACCGUAUUUUAAAUUGUCCGAUGAUAAUAUGCCAUUUGAUAUUAUGUCAAACUUUAUGUCAACAUUGAUAUUAAUAUGCCACGUGGUAUAUGUAUGGAACUAGAGUAAGAAGACCAGAGAGUCAGAAAGAGAGAAGGGAGGCGAGAAAGGAAAAGCGUUGUACAAUGGCGGACGAGGACUAUGAGAUGGACGGAGGGUACAAUUUUCUCACACUUACUAUCAAUUUUUCCAAAGAGAAAUUAAACCAAUCUUUAAACCUAGGGCUUUUAGGGUUUAUGUUUUAACUAACAAAGAUCCUUAACUUUUUUUUUUUUCAGAUACGAAGAUGAGCCAAUGGAGCCUGAGCCUGAUGUAAGAAACAUUCUUGCUUUCUAAUAACAAUAGCUUUAUAAUGCUUUUUUAGUCCAUUUGCCCGCUCAUGGAAGAGAUACUUUACUUGGGUGUGGAAAUAGGAAGGAGCAGAGAUAGAAGAAGAGAACAACAACAAUGAUGAUGCUCUAGAUGCUUUUGAAGGUGAAGGUGAAGAGAAACAGGAACAAGAACCAGUUGAACGCCCUCGGAAAACGUCCAAGUAUAUGAUGAAAUACGAGCGUGCGAGGAUUUUGGGCACUUGUGCCUUGCAGAUUAGGUGUUGUGUGAUUUUUGGAUUUUACGUUUUCAACAUGUUAGUCAUGGAUUUAAGGAGUUUUGUUUAACUUGGGGAAUUUUUGUGGUUGUGCAGCAUGAAUGCCCCUGUCAUGGUUGAAUUGGAGGGUGAAACUGAUGAGGACAUCUACUUUUUAUUUAUUUUUAGUUGGACGUUAUUUAUGUUUUAGAUUUUAUUUAUGUAAUUGGGCUUGUGUUGGCCCAAGUCCAUUCUACUUAGAGUUUUAGUCUUUAUUAUUUAAACCUAAUUGCGAUAUAAUUUCAUUAGUUUUGAUAAAUUGAAGAAUAUUUUGGUGGUUUGUUGCCUAUGGCUUCUCCUUCCUCUCCCCUCUCCUCUUCCCCAUGAAUUUCUGCUUCUUCUCCGGUUUCUCCUCCCAUUCUCUCCGGUUCUCCCCUCUUUCUUGCUUCUUCUUUCUAUUUUUUAAUUCAUCCUGCAUUAAAUUUGGUAUCAGAGUCGAACCAUGGGUAAUUUCUUUUCUUUAAUCCAAAAUUUAUUUAUAUUUCCUUCCCAAAAUAUGUUGGGAUAGCACGAACUAAAAGAAUUUUUGGUAAAGGCAACAAUUUUUUUUGCUUCUUCAAUUUUCAGUCUUAGUUGAAAAAAAAAGUUACUGUUCAUCGCGGGUACUGUUCACACAGAAUUUCAAUUUAGUAUUUUGGUCAGUUUCUUAAAAAUAAAAAAAAUAAAAAAAAUUACUGUUCACGGGUACUGUUCAUGCCCAAAAAAAAAUCUCAUUUUCUUUUUUGCUACUGCUGCUGCUCAUAAAUAAAAAAAAAAAAUUGUGGUGUUGUUCUACAAAUCCCAAGCCCUAGCAUUCAAGCUCAUUUAACCCAACUAACCCAGCCUACUCUUUACGACCCAGGCCCACUCUCCAAACACUAACCCCAGCUGGCCCAUCUCUAUAACAGGAUCCAAACCCCUUCCCAUCUAACCCAGUCCCAAAUAUCCGACCAAACCCGAUUAUAACCAAUCCAUUAACAUCAAAUACCCCACAGUUUCACCCGAUUCCUCUCUCACAACCACUCUCUUGCUGCUGCCGCCUCUAAUCACCAUCACGCCACCACUUCAUUAUCUAUUGUAUUCAGGCAUUCAGAGCACUAUUGCUUCAUCGCCAUAGGCCACCACCACCAACCCAUGAUCAUACACUUCCACCACAGUUACCACACUCAUAUAUUUUCUCGUUCAUCUCAACAAUCUAAAAGUCACAGUCAUCACACUCAGUUUUACAUCCACACCAGAGCCAGUACAAAUUACAGUCAAUAGGGGUUAAAACCAUUGGACACGAAGGGAAGAACAGAAGCAUAGUUGGGGCGCAUAAGUCGGUAAUUCAGAUCAAGCGGUAUACAAAUAAUCAAAACUAAACAACAGGGAGUCCUUGAUCUUUAUUUAGUAUUAGUUUAUACUACUGCUUCGUUUUUAAAAUUGUAUCAAUUAAAAUCUUUUGCUGCUGUUAUCGUGAUAAUUUUAGCCUUAAACCCCACUUGAUCAAAACCAUUAAUCGAAUUGACACCAGUGAUCGAAUUGACUUCCAUUGUUCUCCACUUAAAUUGAUUGGAGAAUUUGACUAGUGUUUUGACCCUUGCUUUGCCAUUUUACAUGUACUAGUAGUAGUAUUAGCUUGUUUUGAAUUUAAUUAAUCCCAAUAUUUAAAAUUAAAUUAAAAAAAAUUGGUACAAGUUAUUUUUCAUUUAUUGCACGUAUUGUUCACUGAUCUCAUCAUAGCACGUCAUUUAGUCGGUAUUACAUUGCAUGUAGUUGCAUAGUGGUCAUCUUGUCAUCUCUAUUUCCAAUACAUUGACCAUGGAUCCAUCCCAAUUUGAUGCACUCACUAGACAAUUAGCGCAACUUGCCACUAGCUUAUCGGCUGUCCAAUCAGAUAUAGCUGCUACUCGUGAGGAGAGAAAGAACCUAGCUGCUAAGUUGAGCAAUUUUAAGCGAACCCCUCGUUUAACUGACACUAAUUCUGAAGUGUUUCAUAAUAGACAAUAUCAUCGUGGACAAAGUGAUCAAAAAUAUUUUCGACGCGAUCGUAGGAAUAGGGAUCAGGUUUGUGAGCGAGAACAAGGUGGUCAUCAUGAUACUCAUUCUCUUCCUCGUCGUAAGGAGCGUUUCUUUAGAGACAUUGACUUAGAUAUUCCUACUUUCGAUAUUUGUUUAGAUCAUGAAGGGAAUCGGCUAGUAACUGAGUACAUUGCUCAAUUUGAGGAAUUUCGAGUAAACUGUCAUGUCGUUGAGGAUGAGGCCCUGACUUUAAGUAGGUUUAUACAAGGUCUAAGAGAUGAACUUAGGCGUGAGCUUUUCUUUCGGAGCAUCACUACUCUUGAUCAAGCUUACUCUUCAGUUCAGGACUACGAGUUACUUAUUAGUACUCCAUAUGAAAAGCGCGACCACCAUCGUUCUCCCAUGUCAUUAGCACCACCUCAACAUGAGUCUGUCAUAGAGACUUCCCAGUCUAGUGUUCUUCCCAUUUGGAAAAAUAAGUGUAAAGGUCGUGAUAGUCCAAUGCCGCCUUCUCCUUAUAGAAAGCGUAUUGACAACCAUUCUUCCGUCUCAUUGGCUCCACCUCCUCCUGUUAAGUCUUUUCUAGGACCUGCCCCGUCUAAUGUUUCUCAAAUCUUGAAAAAUAAGGGUAAAAUUUUUGAAACUCCAGGGACUUCUUCUCAACUACUAUGCAUCAGCUAUAAGGAUUUUGGUCACAUCUCUUCCAAUGUCCUAAUCGAGCCUUAGUCAUAGAAGAACGAAAGAAUGUAAUAGAAGAGUCGUUAGAAGAUCCAGUGUACGAACCUAAACUUGAAGAUUUUGAUGAUGAUAGUGAGGCACCUCCUUAGGUGGCACCCAGACUCUUCCUGAGGCUCUAGAUACUAUAUCCCAUGAUUUCACUAGUCACUUUUGGAGAACCCAGUCUCCUUUGGUUAACACUAAAUCGAAAUUCUCCACUGCAGACCAACCUCAGACUGAUAGUCAAAAUGAAGUCGUUAACCAAAGUCCUAACAAUUUAUUCAAGUCUCUAGCCCAGAAAAAUCUUGGGAAUUGGGACUCGAUCCCCCCAACUGUUCACAUUGCAUAUAACAAUUCUAUGAAUUGGUCUCUAGGUCUAAAUCCAUUUGAAAUUGUUCAAAAUUAUAAGUCUAGGUGGCCGUUAGAUCUUAUUCCCAUGUCCCUGCAUGCUAGUGUGUUGUUGUCAGCUGAAGCAUUUGUAUAUCAUUUUCAUGACUUACAUAUUGAGAUCAAUAAACAACAUGACGCAAGUAAUGCAUUAUAUAAACUUCAAGCUGAUUCGCAUAAACGAUAUUUUGAAUUUAAUAUUGGGGAUUAUGUUAUAUUGCAAGCUUGUAGUGCUGGUCCUUUAAAAAUUUUAAAGUAUGUUGGUUCAAAUGCACAUGUCAUUGCCCUUUCAUCACAUUUUGGCUACCACUCUGCUUUAAAUAUUGAGGACUUCAUUACUUACAAACACCGUGUUACUUCCUUUGAUGAUCCAUUUCUACUUAGCUUUGUAGACCCCCAACUUGACUAUGUUGAUAUUUCUACUUCAAUACCAUCUAUCACAGCACACAAAGAUAAAAUUGAUAUUAUUUUAGAUGAACGUGUUGUAUUGACCAAUGAUGGCAAGAUUCAGUACUUUCUUGUUUGUUGGGUAGAUCGACGUGCUUCUUAUGCUCCUCAUUAUAUACAAUCAUGUGAAAAUCUUGAAGAUGAGGUGCAUGAAUAUUGGUUAUUUGGAGUCCAGUAUCAGUACAUGGUUAGAAGGAAAGAUCGCCCCCUUGGUCAGAUCAUAUUCUUGGGAAUAAGCUACAGUUUUUAGUACUAUCAAUUAUGGAAUUUCGUUACUUGGUUUGUCAGAAAGAUCGUCCCCCGUGGCUUGACGCAUUUGGAGUAUCAAAUUGAAUGCAGCCUAUACUAUCUAUCAACUUGACAUGGUCGAGUUUUUCUUCCACCCCGGGAGAGUUGAUGAUGACAUCUAUUUUUUAUUUAUUUUUAGUUCGACUUUAUUUAUGUUUUAGAUUUUAUUUAUGUAAUUGGGCUUGUGUUGGCCCAAGUCCAUUCUACUUAGGGUUUUAAUCUUUACUAUUUAAACCUAUUUGCGAUGUAAUUUUAUUAGUUUUAAUGAGUUGAAGAAUAUUUUUGUGGUUUGUUGCCUAUGACUUCUCCUUCCUCUCCCCUCUCCUCUCCCCCAUGAAUUUCUGCUUCUUCUCCGGUUUCUCCCCUCUUUCUUGCUUCUUCUUUCUAUUUUUUAAUUUGUCCUACAUCAGAAACUGAUCCUCUUGAGGUAAAAUUAUUGAUCUUGUUCUCGAAUGAGAAAAUACUGAUGUGUUUAUUGUAUUUUUUCUCUUAUUCUUCCUGUUAAUUUGCCUUUUUCUACUUUCUUUGAGACCUUUGAUUUUGAAAUUAGAAGCUGUGUAACUGAAUGGAUUGUUGCACAUGUUUUUCUUUCUCUGCUUCUUGGUAAGUAGCAAUUAAUCUAGGGGAAGGGCUUGAAAAUCCAACAUCAUGGUUAAGCCCAUAUUCUCUAACCAAGCUACUCUGGCUCCUUGUUUGGUGUUUUUUGCCCACCCUUCAAAUGUGAUUUAGGUUCUGUUGACUGCCUUUGUUUUUAAGUCAUAAAUACUAUAUAUUUCAAUUUGAACCUUCAAAAUGAGCCAGUGCUAUAGGAUGUUGAAAGACAAUGUUAUCACUUUCUAAUGGAGCAGACAAAUAUAUGCAUGUAUGAGAGAGUAGAAAAUUGAUGAUAAAGAUAACGUCAUUCCAAUUACUGGAAAUUAACUAAACUAGAUAACUCUUUUUCACUGUAUGUAAAUCUUCAAACGCCUUGGUCUUAUAGUUCUCUACUAGGAAGUUCUGACGUCCGUGGAGCCAGCAGGCAGGUGUCCAAUACGUGUUGGCACCUACAUGUGGUAUGUCCCCCUUUUUCUGUUUUCUCACAACAGACAUGUCGCCAACAUGCCGUCAACACAUCGGCAAUAUUACAUUAGAGGAAUCAUAACAAAAUUUAGAAAAAGGGAGAUAUAUUUAGCCUUUCUUUGAACCCCCUUUUAAUUUUGUAAAAGUGAUUUUUUGAGAAUGUGUGGUAACUGCGCAUGAUGGAUUCACAAUCCACCGCCUUAACCCACUUGGCUACAUCACCCUCCACAAUCCAGGUGGCGAUGUCCAAAUCAUGACACCAAGUUCAUGCAGGAGAGGACUUUAAUGAUGCAAACAACUCACGUUCGGUAAUAAGACUUGAACAUGGAUUUUUUCCCCAUCGAUAAAGUAGGAAAAACUUUGGGUUCACAAGCAAAAUUAUUUUAUUAGGUGUAUGUUUGAAAAUGAGUUUGCGGGAAAAUGAGUUUUAAAUGAUGGGGGCUCUAACACGCACUUAUCUGCUGGGAGGAGCAGAAGAUUAUCUUGUAUAAACAGGCUGAAGGAGCAAACAAUGCUGAUUGGGGGUGGAAAUAAUUGAAGGGGGUGGGGUGAAGUGAAGUUGGUAGAAGGGAGUUGGGGAGGCCGAGAGAGGUGAGCGGAGCUUGCUGAAAUGAUGUGGAACUUUAAUUUAGUAUUUCAGAUAAUUUAUUGGGCAAAGCCCCUGGCCCUGAACGUCAAGCAAAACUCUAAUUUAUCAAAAGUGAACACAGCUUUGAACUUUAAAGCAAGCGUACCGAUUUGAUUUACCCAACUUUUUAGUGGCAUGUAUUGUUUCAAUAAUAUAGUACUUUUCGUUUUUCAAUAAUACAUUAAACCUUUGUUUGAGUCCCAUUUUUCAACCAAAAUAUAUUCUUCAACAGUGAUUUGACAUAUUUCAACCACAAAUUCUUCAAUAAAGUAAUAUUAUACGCAAAUAAAAUUUUUUCUUAUUUUUUAACUACACAUUUCUCAUCAAUACACUAUUCAAAAAUUCAUUUUCUUCACAAAAAUGGGGCUCAAACAAGGACUAAAUAUGAUUUGAUUUGAUUUACCCAACAUUGAAAUAAUGGCAUGUUUUACUCAAAUUCUGAUUUAAAAAAUUAAACAAAUACGUGUACUGAUUUGAUUUACCCAACUUGUUAAUUGAACAAAACACAUAAUUUUCCACUAAAAAUUUUAAAAAUUUAAAAGCAUAAAAAAGUAAGAAAAAUUAAUAUUUUUUAGUUGACAUUUGGUAUCAUGUUUAUUAUUUUAAAAAAUUAAGUCAGUACAUCUAUGUUGUGUCAUGACGGACACGCUACACUGUUCUUUAGGUGUUCCAAGAUGUAAUUUAGUUCUUUCUUUUCUGUACUAAAAGAAAUUGGACGGAUCUGUGUCUAAUGGAUUGAAUUGAAAGAGCUGUUUACUCUUCACCAAACUAUGCUGAUUGAUGACUAGUAAGUUACAUUUAAAUAUCAUUAAAUUGAAAAUUUUGUAGUUGAACUCGUUGCUAGUAGAUUUUAGAUACUAAUUUUGUAGCUCUAUUUCUUGCAUUUUCUUUUCAUGAAGCAAUUAACCUAAUAAACCUGUUUUUGCCCAUGUGUUUUGUUUGUGCUCAUAUCAUUUAUCUAAGAUUGCAAUGAAGGAACUGCGAGAGCGAAAGAUACCAUUCACUAUUCGUCGUUACCUCCCUGAUGGAAGGUAGGAUUCGCUCGUAAGUUAAAAGUCUUUAUUUUACCGGUCUCUCUCCUAUGCUACAGCUAUUGGUUUUUAUGUUGGUACAAUGCAGUUACGAAGAUUGGGGAGUUGAUGAAUUGAUUGUGGAAGACUCCUGGAAGAGACAAGUUGGAGGCGACUAAUAUGAUCGUGCCCUAUUGUUGAAAUGGUUGUGUUUGUAGUAAUGUUUGUGGGGAUUUUAGAUAAAGACCAAGUUUUCAAGUAUGUAUUAACAGUGACUUGUGUCAUAACUUCAUGGACUAAAGUCAUCAAUGCUAACUGUCUUGAAUUUUCGUUCGAAUGAGUUUCUGUUCUGUCUGAUUUUUCCGAAGAGUAAUUGAAUUUUGUUUUGUUGGGAUUUUAGUAUUAGGUUGUUUAAAAAAAGGUUGAAUCUCAACCUUGAGGGCCCUAUCGUCCCGUCCUUGGAGCAUCGUGAGGGAGAUAAAUCGCUGGAUGUGUCCCCACAAGUCAGAGAACAAAAACUAGUCUGUAUACUGGUGCUCACAAAGAGUUCAAUUCCAUAUAUUAGGAAUCGAACUCUCCCACUGCAACUAUCAGCAAGGCUGAGAUUACCAAACAGAUCAUUAUGUUUAAUUCUAUAAGCUUGUCAAAUGAAAUAACCAAUAAAUAAACUUGGACACUAGUCAUCAAAUGCACAAAGUAUGAACAAAUUUACCAAAUUAAAUUUGAGCAAGCUAGCCUUGUUUGAAAGUAGUUAUUUGAAAAUUACUUAUUCUUCACCUUCAUUUUCAAUUACGAGAAAAAAUAAUUUUUACGUAAAUUUUCCUUCCUUUUUAAUUAACCAAACAUUCUUAAAAUCACUUUCACGAGUACUAAGAAAUUGUAGUCUCAUCCUCAAAAUGUAUCCAUUAUCAAAUACUAUUUCCAAUCUGGUGUGCUUCAACAUGAUGUUAUAAGACAUUGACACUAAUUUGAGACUUGCUUUCAACUAAUAUUAAAAGGGUUUAUUCCACUUGUAUAGAAAAUGGAAUUACAAAAUUCCACUAGAAUCUCACGUGUGGGUCCAUGUGAUGAUAAAAAAAUGCCAAAAAAUCUUCCACCCCACCCCCUAUUGCAAGUUAUCUAUAGCUAUUCCGUGAAAUUUAUUUUUGUACACUUAGCAAGGCUCUAUUAAAAAUUGUGCAUGCAGCGUGUUGGAAACCUUUGAUAAUGAAAAUUGAAUAAAGAGAAGCCAACGGUAAACACUAAAUUUUACUCGGUGGUUCAAGAAUCCGUUUAACUCUUCUGUGCAUCUCAACAUUUUUAUUUUAUUAAUAAUACUUAAAAAGAAGAAAAAGUUGAAGAAGAACCCAUUUUUUUCUCGAAUUUUCUGAUUGUAUUCUGGUAACCAGGUUAUAGAACCCAUUUUUUUCUCGAAUUUUCUGAUUGUAUUCUGGUAAUGUUUUGUUUAAUGACUACUUUUAACAUUCAUGCCUGAGAAAGACCUGUAUGGAUUUAAAUCUGUAUAAAUGUAAAGAAAUUGUAUUGAAUUCAUAGCAAUGCUCGUGGAUGCCUCAAUUGUAAGGUAUGAUUGAAUUAAAUAAAUGCAUUGAUGAAUUAUAUCUUGCAUUUUCUACUGAUUUGUCAUUUUAUUUAUAUUUUGAUUAAGAGGUGGGGAAAUCCCUUUUAUUGAUUUUGUAGUGUAGAGUGGUUCAUGGAGUUAUGUACCUAUGAAAAGUUUUCAAUGUAAUAUGCAUAUCAAUGUCAGUAUCUAUAUCUAAUUAAUUUAAUUUAUGUAUAAUGCAGAAUUUUAUUGGUCAAGCAAAUGGCUUUAAAUGGCCAUUCACAGAUGGUGACGCAUGCAUAUGAAUAUUCACACGCAAACAUAUAUAUUCAUUUAUUCAGGAAAUUUGUGAUCUUUGACUCUAUUUGGUAUUUAAUGCUCAAGGUUGGCAGUUUUUCUCAAUAAUCUUUUCUAAACUACUUGAUGAUGGGUGAAUCAGAGUUUAUUUGAAUAUCUUAUUUUUUGCUUCCCUUGUGUUCAAAGAUAGGGUAGCUUUAGGGACGUGAAGAUUCAGAUACUUUCACAAUGAUUGACCAUUACUUCAAUGACAUGAACUGAAUUUGCCGAACAUAUGGAAAAGAUUUUUCCUGAGUUCGGAGAUCAUGACGUUGAAGAAGUUCUCCAACAGCAGGUAACUUCUAGACUCUAGAGACUCUCUUGGAAAUCUCGGGAUUCAGUUUUCGUGGAUAUUGCAUAGAAUUAAUAGAUAGUUUUUGUGUUGAAUAACAGAGAAGUGCAUAUCUGUAUAUUCAAGAAAACAAGAAUAUCACAUCUGAUGAUAACCAAACUAGCAAUAUGAGCGAUUUUCUGCAUACGUGGAUGAAUCUUGGUGGGAAGAUAUCGAGCAAUUUACUCUCGAUGAAGCUUUGGCUAGAUCCUUGCAGUUGCAGGAUUACUCUGGUGAUGAUCCAGACUUGCUGGUAAUAAAAUAACUUCAUUUUAUAUAUUUACGGUAGUAUUUCUGGUUCAUAGAAGAACUAAUUCGUAUAUAUGUCGCUCAUAGUGUGAGUGUAUACUCUGUGAUCUACAGGGACAAUAGUCUCCUCCUCCGGCUUCCAUGGUAACUACACACAUCCUCCCAAGUUCCUUAAUAGGAAUUUUUGCAUCAUAUGAUUAUGAUCAGGACAUGAUUCUUGGUUGUGUGAAUCAAUGCAGGUGACAAGUCAAAUUAGAAGGCAGGAUAACAUCAAUCCAGACAAUAUGACUUGUGAGGUUAGCUAUCUGAUGCAUGAUUGGCAUUAUAUUCUGUGUUUUGUUUACUUGGGAAAUUCUUUGUUUGAAAAUUUCUAAUGCUAUACAAAAUCAUGAAACUCUUUCAUAUCUAGUUUACUGUGUUAGGAAUUGCUGUCACUGGACGAAGCUAGUGGCGACGAACACAAAGGACUUUCUGUACAUCUCAUCUCUCAGUUGCCAACUUUCAGAUACAAAGCUGGUUCGUCUGCUAGAAAACGGGAGGAAAAAGAGUAAGAACUCUCCGAUCUAGCUCUUAGUACCUGGUGUAGUUAUUAGACAACACUGGAUGGUAUUAAGGAAGAAGAGAAAGCUCAAAAUCUCAUUCAUCGUACUGUUCUAGACGGUCUCACAGCCGAGAAUGAGCUACUUAACAAUGUUACAAAUGGCUAUUGCAAGAUUUCAAAGCGAAGCAUACAAAAUCACACACACUUAGGAUAAAUUUUUGAAGGAAUAUUAUGCGCUAAUUCCUGUCUCUACAUUUUAGAUGCGCGAUAUGUUGUUCAGCUUACAAUAAAGGAGAUACUUUGAGUCUUUGACCACUCUGCCUCGCGCACACCAGUAUCAUGCAGAUUGCAUUAAUCAUUGGUUGAAAAUCAUGAAGGUGAGAAUGGUCAUUUUGACUAUUAUUGCCUUCUUUCGAGAUCAUAACAAAGUCUCUCUCAGUCUCAGAAUUGCCUCGUCUGUAAAAAGGAGGUCCGAGAAGAUUAAUAUUUGAGAGUUUCUGGACAGAGUACAGCUGAUGGUUCUGCUGCUUGCUUAUUGUUCACGAAAUAAUUUUUUCGAUUUAAAACUACCACAAGCAUACGGUUCGUAACAAGUAAUAAAGUGGAUUUUAAUAAGUUCGAAUAUCGUCCCUCAGAGAUCGAGUAGUUCAAUUCUAUAUAAUCUAGCCUUAACCGAAUCUAAUUGAGUGAAAAUAUGGUCUAAAUGCAAAAAGCCUUAAUUUCAAUUAAAAACCCUAAUUUCGCUAAAAACCCUAAUUUCUAUUGAAAAUCCUAAUUUCUCAAUUAGAAACCCUAAUUUUGAAAUUUUUCUAAUUUAAACGACGCAAACACUCAAGUAAAUGAAAUUAUGCAAAUUCAAAAGCUAAUUUAUGGAAAUGAAUCAAACUAAAGUCACUAGGAUCACGAAUCCCCAAUUGAAGUUAUAAAAAUCCUAAUUUCACAAAAUUAAUGACCCGAUGGAAAUUUGCAAAUUCAAUGUUCCUAAUUCUAUCCAAUAUAUUCUCUCGAUAUAUAUUCGACCUAUUCUUGCACACCACCAGCCUAUAUCUCUAUGGAGGAUGCAAAUAUACAAGAAUGCAUGUGGUUUUGUGAACAAUUAAAGAAUUGUAUAAAGCAUAGAGGUAUAUCUCUAUCCCCUAUCGGACCCUAUGUUAAUUUACACCUUAUCGAACCUAUUCCACUUCUCUCGAAUGUAAGAAAUAAGUCAUCAACACUCACACAAUCAUUGGCCACUAAUUGCGGAAGAAAAUUAAUGCAUGUAAACCAAUCAAAUUAACCAAACUAGUCUUUAUAUUAUAUUCAUGAAAUAUGAAAUUAAAAUAACAAAUAACGGUUCAUCGAUCACCUAAUAAUUGAAAACUUAGCCUAGAAUAUUCAUAAUUACAAAAAAAAAUGAAAUUAAUAAAUAGAAAGAAUAGCACCCGUAUGAAAAUUCCUUGAAUUCUUGAAUAAAACCUUGAAAACCCGCUUGAAUCCUUGUGAAAUCGGCUUCAAGUUCGUGUUUCUUGCCUCCAAAAGUUAUAUUUUUCUUCUCCCUGGACAUUCUGCCCUAUUUUUGAUGAAUUUUGACUUUUAUACCAUGUCCUCACGGAGCCCCAAAGGAGUUUUAAUUGAAAACGGAAGUUCAGAAUGUUUGUCGGAUUUUUAAGCUAUGCGGCCGCAUGGUGGCCGCAUGGUGUUAACCCAUGCGACCGCAUGGUUCAAGUGAUAUGCCCCAAAUAAAUCCCUGCUAGUUCAUGUGCGGCCGCAUGGUAUUGUUACAUGCGGUCGCAAGGUUGUAACUUUACAACCUUACUAUUUUGGUCCCUGAACUCCGUUUUCUCUUUUCUUGAUCUCUUUUCUUUCUUUGCUUUAUUCCAUUAUCAAAUACUAACUCCUAAUUGAUGUUUGGGUCAAUCAAUUCCUUGAUCACUUGUUCGGCUCAUCUUUUGAUUAAUUGCAAUUUAGUCCUUCAUCUUUCACUUUUCUUCAAUUCAGUCCAAUGUUACUUCUUUCUUCCUCCGAUCGUCUUGUAUCAUCCUCAAUCUCAUACUUGGCAUAUUUUCAUUCUAGUUCUGCACUUUAGCUCAACUUUCCAAUAUUUGCACAUUUGGUCCCCGAACUAUCGCUUUGUUCCGUUUUGGUCCUUUUUAAGCUCUUUUCUUCUGAAUUCCAUCUUUCCCAUAGAAACACCUACAUUGCAUGAAUUUAACGAGAUUAAGCCACAAUUCAACUACUUUAUCCAUGUUUAAGUCAUGUUUGUGAGCUAAAUAAGUGUGUAAAAACACACUUAUCAAAUCCCCCAAACUUAAACUAUUGUUUGUUCUCAAACAAUGUAGUGAUUUAAUGUUAAACAAACAUGGCUUAAUAGCUUGCCGUGUCUCAGGAUUGGACUUAGUAAUAAUAAUAGAAACAAUAUCAAGAGUGCGAGAAUUGAAUCAACCUUCACUCAUCAAAUGCAAUACUCAACGUGUGUGUGUGAACUCAUGCCAACAUAUCAAGCUUAUGACUAGUUUAUUCCUGACCCAUAGUGGUCAAAUUUAUCCUUACGUCACUCGAGAGAUACACAAUCCCCAAAUGUAUUCUUUUCACAAAUUUCUCCGGGGUGUAUUCUAAGGUUAGAAGUUUAAACAAUUCUAAUUCUUACCCUCUCUUAGUUUGGAUGGAUUUUACCAUUACAAGUUCACAUAUCAACAAUUAGAGACUCUCCUUAUUUUGAUUGCUUCAACCUUUGGGAUUAAACUAAGCUACUUACCUCGCAUUGAGGUUAUAGUUCUAUCAACCAAAUGUCCAACAAGGGUUUUUAUUUUUAUUAUUUUUUUUUGUGUUAUCUUCUCAUUUGCUUUCUAUAUAACCCAAACCAGUUGGCUUUAGGGUACUAGAUUUUAAACCCUUGCAGUCUUAUUCACUCGAGUUAUAAAAGCUCGAUAAGAUGACUUUUUAUCAAUUCUCCUUUUUCUUGCUUUCUAUAUGACCCUUGUAACAAGCUUUAGGCCGAUGACUCCCAAACCAGUUGGUAUUAGGGCAUCAGGUUUUAACCCUUACAGACUUACUUGCUCGAGUCAUAAAGGCUUUUUGAGAGAAGUGAUAAUUUUCCACUUUUUACUUUAUGCCACUUCUUUGUUUUUCUAGACAUUUGACUUCCAAAACCAUCCUCACUUGAAGUUUUCACCUAUUUUUCACCUUCCGGGUUUAAAUAAUCCACACAUUAUAAUUUCAUGCACGGAGCCCCCACUUAUCUCCAUGUUCCCCUACAAUGGCUCAAUUAUCUCCAAACUAUCUUAAAGUGGUAUUACGGGUUAAUGUUAUAGAGGGUUAUUCUAGGUUUCUCCUAAUUUAUUCUAAAAUUUCAAUCAAUAACUUAACACGUGAAGCAUGAGUGGCAUGUAAAAGAAUGUCAAGCAUUGCAUCAACAAGUAUUAGCAAAUUAAAUCCUGUACUAAAUCCACAGUUUCUAGCUUAUACAUGUCCAAUAAUCACAUCAUAGCUGACAAGGCUACCAAACCCACACAAAUAUGCAAACGUUCAUCAAGAUUCACUCAUCAAGCAUGCAUCAUGCAAAAACUUGUCAAAAUUAACGAUGAAUUGUGAAUAUGCAAAAUAAUUACAUGCUGAAUAUUUGUUUGAAAUUAUGCUACCAUCCCCCAAACUUAUACAAUACAUUGUCCUCAAUGUAAAAUUUAAAGUUAAAAUGACAAAACUUAAAACAUGGACACAAGUUGGUAAUAAGAGAUUAACAAAACUCCCCUGAUCAAUUCGGUGGCUGUGGUGUGAAGCUAGGACUCGCAGCAUCAUCUUCAGGAGGAGGUGGGAGGCGAGAUAGGACUUGUCUCAGCAACUCAGACUGCUGUGCUUGCUCAGCCUGAAUGGCUUGAAGACUACUUUCCAUAUUUCCCAAGCGAUCCCAAGUUUCGUUCACACGCCACUGUAUGACAUCCAUUCUCCCAGCGUACAUGUUGAACCUACCAUUCAUAGUGUCUACUUCCCUUUUUGUAGCUGUGGCUUCAUUCAAAGCACCUUUUGUGUAGUCUCGGGAGGAGUAGAGGUCUCUCUGCACUUUUUCAACAGUGGUGGUCAUCGUCUCGAACCUCUGCUGUAGAUUUUGUAUAUCCCUGCUAGUUCCAGUGGCUGUGGCAAAUAUCUGUCGAAGUAGCUGUGAAUCCAUCUCAACUGGUUGUGGCAGGGCUUGUGGUAAGUGUAAAUCUUCAGCAGCUUGUCCUUCUUCCUGUGCAUUUUGUCUUUGCCGCUCAAGUCUGUCUUGUUCUCUCUUCCUUACCCUAGCUCGUUCCUGAGCUUCAAAUGUAGUGAGCUUUAUCAAUGGGCUUGAUUUCUCAGGCAUCUCCCCUGCCUCAACUGUAACACCGGUGGCAAGAUAUAUCCCGCUAAUCAGACUAGGGAAGAUCAUCGAAGACCGCCUAUCUCUCCAGGUUCCCAAAUUUUGUAUCUGGUCAAAGAUAAGAGUAGCCAAAUCAACUUUGCAUCCCCGAGCUAAAUGAUAUAUGAACCCAGCAGUUUGAUCCGUGAAAGUUGUCCAAUGCGAUGUGGGUUCGAUAUUAUGGCACAGGAAGACCCAGAGAAUGGCUAUGGAGGGAGUAAGCUCAAUUUGAUGCCACUCUGCAGUGGGUAGGGGCCAAACAUUUUCCCUUCCCAAGAAAACCUCCGCCACUUCAUUCCAAUUGAAUUGAGUGGGAAUCGGGACCACAUUGUCCAAAUUAAGAUUGUAGAAGUCAUGAAUGACGGCUGGGGAGAACAUUAUCCACUUACCUCGCACCUACGUCUGGUGUAAGUGUUCAAAAUCCGGAGUCUCAAUUUCACUAUUGAAGUUUGCAUAAAAUUCGCGGACUAUACUUUCAUAAACCGAGUGUGGCUUUUCUACAAUCUGCUCCCAUCCACAGAUUUGUAUCAGAUUUGUCAACUCAAAACCACGGAAAUCAUCUAACCGGACCUGUCUCUCUGGUAUCAUGCCCCAAUGGCAUAUUAUGUUCUCAUAUCGAGCUAAUGUUUUUGCAUCACGGAAUCUUCGCACACUUCCUAUUAGCUCUAUGGUGCGGGCUGUGCUAGAGGAUGAACCAACUUUUUCUUUACCUUUUGAUGUUCUCUUCAGCGGCAUCCUACACAAAUAGGGAACGAAGUGUAUCAAGUUCUUGAAAUAAGAAAACGAUAAAGAAUAUCAUUGUCAUGCACAAAUCCCCCAAACUUUCUUCAAAAUGUGUUCAAUAUUCAACACAUGGAAGUUAAUGUAACAUCAAUAUUGUAUUAAUGAGAAAAACUCAAAACUAUGGCUCUAACAUGCAUUUUUUUAAAAUUCGACUCAUGAUUAAGUGACCAAGUUUAGCCCCGAGCAUCACCGAGAAAUAUUAAAAUUUCCCCGGACAAGGUCCGGGCAUAUGAAAGUACUCAUUGUGGUCUAGCAUAUAUCCAAAUUUCACUACAAUCGGAGGUCAUUUGGUUAGGAAAAUACAUGGACGAAGUUAGUGACGUGAGUUGACAUGGUUUAGCAAUUUAUGUGGUUAUGUGCACAAAUAUGUGAGGCUAAUGUUUUCUAAUGAAAUUCCAUGAGAUUUCUCGUCUAGUACGCCUCACAUUAACAAGAUAAAUCAUCACACAAAUGAAAAGUUCAAAAUUUCGAAUUAUAUGUCUCAUUGACAUUUAAUCAAACACGUUGUGUGCAUUGGGAAUUUCCUUCACUUUGUUUUUGAUUUACACUUAGAGCUAGUCCACAAAUCACAAUUCAACACUUACCCAAUUCGAAAAUGGCAAUAAAAUCAAAGAAUAGCUUCAAACUUUGCAUAGAAAGUAAAUUUCUUACCUUUAGAGUUUUGUGAGAUGAAAUUGGAGAGUAUGCUUCAAAAUUUCUUAAUAUCAAUCCUAAUGACGAGAAAAAUGCGGUGCUAGGGUGAAGGUUUGAUGCUUGGUGGAGUGAUUGUGCUCGUGUGAAGGUGAAUUUGGGGAGAAAAAAAUAUAUGUGUUCGGGUGGAGGUGUUUUUGGGGAGGGGAGGAGGGGGGUGAAUUUGCAAGUGACGGGUUAAUAACCCGUCACUUAUGCACCAUGCGGCCGCAUGGUGUAAUUCAAAAUUCCUACCUAGUUUCAGUAGGGGUCCAUGCGACCGCAUGGACAAGGCCCAAUUUUUUUUUUUUAAAACUAAAGCAAACUUACAAUUAUAACCCCAAACACACCUUGAAUUUAUUUUUUUAAAUUAAAGCAAACUUACAAUUAUAACCCCAAACACACCUUGAAAUUUUUUUUUUAAAUCUCGAAAAAUAAAACGAACGACUUUGAACCACGAAAUUCUUUACUUCACACUCAAAUACCCAAAACACUUUCUUUAAGCCCGACUCAUGCAACUAUAAACGUGUAGUGCCUAGACUAUCAUGAGUAAAUGAUCGAUGACCUAAUAAAAUAUACGAAAUGUAAACAAAUUUCUAAACAAAUGCAAUAAAAUAAAUUGAAGGAUACAGUGGGUUGCCUCCCACCCAACGCUAGUUUAUAGUUGAUAGCUCGACUUUCCUGCAUCUUCUUCAUGUUGGGUUGUUGAGUUGCACAGUGGACUUCUGCUUAGAGAAAUUACAGCCCCAAUAAUGUUUCAGUCUUUGCCCAUUGACGAUGAAAGUGCCUUUGGUCUCGUGACUCACUUCAAUAGCCCCAUAUUGCAUCACCUUAGUUAUGGUAUAGGGACCCGACCACCUUGUUCUUAGCUUUCCUGGGAAGAGUUUGAGUCUAGAAUUGUACAAUGACACUUUCUGGCCAACUUCAAACUCUCGCCUCUGAAUGUUUAAAUCAUGCCAUCUCUUGGUGCGCUCCUUGAUCAACUUUGAGGUCUCGUAAGCUUCCAUUCUUAUCUCAUCCAAUUCAUUAAGUUGCAGCAGUCGUUUUUCACCAGCAGCCUUGAGAUCCAUAUUCAACUGUUUCAUAGCCCAAUAUGCUCGAUGCUGUAACUCCAAUGGUAGAUGACACGCUUUCCCAAAAAUCAGGCGGUAUGGAGACAUUCCUAUUGGUGUCUUAAAUACUAUUCUGUAAGCCCACAGUGCAUCGUCCAUCUUCUUAGACCAAUCUUUUCAGGAUGAGUUCACUGUAACUUCUAGUAUUCUUUUUAAUUGCCUGUUCGAAACUUCAACUUGCCCAUUGGUUUGUGGAUGAUAUGGAGUUGCUACUUUAUGUUUCACCCCAUAUUUGUUCAACAGCUGCUCUAAUUGACGAUUUAUGAAGUGUUUGCCCCCAUCACUUAUUACUGCCUUCGGUGUACCAUAUCUUGUAGAUAUGUACUUCUUCAAGAACUCUAUCACCACUUUCGCGUCGUUAGUAGGCAAUGCAACAGCUUCCACCCAAUUAGAGACAUAGUCAACGGCCACCAAGAUAUAUUGAUUUGAGUACGAAGGGGGAAAAGGUCCCAUGAAGUCUAUUCCCCAUACAUCAAAUAUUUCAACCUCCAAGAUGUAAUUUAGUGGCAUCUCAUUUCUUCUUGAGAUAUUUCCGGUUCGUUGACAUUUAUCGCAUCUCUUCACAUACUCGAACGUGUCUCUGAAUAAAGUAGGCCAAUAGAAAGCCGAUUGUAGUAUCUUUGCAGCCGUCUUUGAAGCUCCAAAAUGCCCAGCAUAUGCAGAAGAGUGACAAUGUUCUAGAAUCUGAGGUACUUCAUCUUCAGGAAUACAUCUUCUGAUUAUCUGAUCUGCGCCUCUUCUGUAGAGAAUGGGAUCUUCCUAAAAGUAAUACUUCAGCUCUGCGAAGAACUUCUUUCUUUGAUGGCUAGAAUACUCUGGUGGCGGGAUGGACUUAGCAAGGUAGUUAACAAUAUCAGCGUACCAUGGGACUAUUUCUACUCUAAAAAUUUGCUCAUCUGGAAAGAUUUCAUUGAUGUCAACUGACAUCUCAAGUUCAUCCCGUUCCAAUCUUGAUAAGUGGUCGGCUACCACAUUUUCACUGCCCUUCUUAUUCUUGAUCUCAAUAUCGAACUCUUGCAACAACAAUAUCCAACGGAUCAAUCUCGGCUUAGCAUCCUUCUUUGUCAUAAGAUACUUCAAGGCGGCAUGAUCUGUGUAGACGAUGACCUUAGACCCAACAAUAUACGAUCUGAACUUGUCGAAUGCAUAAAUCACAGCUAGCAAUUCCUUCACGGUCGUCGCAUAGUUGAUUUGGGCGUCGUUCAAAGUUCUACUUGCAUAGUAUAUCACAUGAAAGAUUUUAUUCUUUCUUUGUCCCAAUACCGCACCAACUGCAUGAUCACUCGCAUCACACAUUAGUUCAAAGGGCAAAUCCCAAUCAGGUGACACAAUCACAGGCGCUGUUGUGAGUUUUUUCUUCAAAGUAUUGAACGCUAUCAAACAUUCCUCAUCAAACUCAAAAGAUACCUCUUUCAUUAGCAAGUUGCACAGAGGCUUGGUGAUUUUGGAGAAGUCCUUUAUAAAUCUCCUGUAAAACCCUGCAUGCCCAAGGAAACUUCGAACUCCUUUUACUGAUGUAGGUAGUGGUAAUUUCUCAAUAACCCAAAUUUUCGCCUUAUCCACCUCUAUCCCCUUUGUCGAUACUCUAUGUCCCAAGACUAUUCCCUCUUGAACCAUGAAAUGAUAUUUCUCCUAGUUCAAUACUAAGUUCGUUUCUUUGCAUCUUUGCAAAACCAAAUUUAAGUGAUCCAAACACUCAUCAAAUGAGGUCCUAAAGACCGAGAAGUCAUCCAUAAAGAUUUCAAUGAAUUUCUCUACCAUAUCUGAGAAAAUUGCCAUCAUGCAUCGCUGAAAUGUGGCAUGAGCGUUGCAAAGUCCUAAUGGCAUUCUUUGGUAUGCAAAGGUACCAUAGGGGCAUGUGAAGGUGGUCUUCUCCUGAUCAUCCGGUGCCACUAGUAUCUGAUUAUAACCCGAAUACCCAUCCAUAAAGCAGUAGUGGGAAUGACCUGCCAAUCUCUCCAACGUCUGAUCUAUAAAUGAAAGAGGGAAAUGAUCUUUCCUUGUAGCGGUAUUUAGUUUGCGGUAAUCAAUGCAAACUCUCCACCCUGUUACCGUCCUUGUCGGAAUCAACUCAUUCUUUUCAUUCUGAACCACUGUAAUUCCUCCUUUCUUGGGCACAACUUGCACUGGACUAGUCCAUUUACUAUCUGAUAUCGGGUAGAUUAUUCCAGCAUCCAGAAGCUUGAUCACCUCAGCUCUUACUACCUCCUUCAUGUUUGGGUUUAGCCUUCUUUGAGUUUCAACUGUUGGUCGAAAACUCUCCUCCAUGAGAAUUUUAUGCAUACAUAAGGAAAGGUUGAUCCCUUUGAUAUCAGCUAUGGUCCACCCAAUUGCUUGCUUGUUAUCUCGAAGCACCUUAAGCAGUUUUUCCUCCACCAUUUCACUAACCAUGUUUGAAAUUAUCACUGGAAGUGUAUUAGACUCCCCCAAAUAUGCAUAUCUUAAGUGUGGGGGCAGCUGCUUAAGUUCCAACUUUGGUGGCUUCAGAAUAGAUGACUGUGAUUUCUUUGGCCCUGUCCCAAGCUCAUCAAAGUAUCGUUUCCGCGUGUAAGGUAGGUUGGACUCCAAAAAUCUUGCACACAUUUCUAUGUCUUCAGAAUCAGAAUUCAUGGAUUUAGAAUGUGCAAUGCAUGCCUCCAAUGCAUCUGAUGGAUUUUGCAGUGUAAAUGACUCUUCAAUCAUUUUAUCAAUCAUGUCAACCCUGAAACAUCUGUUAGUCUCUAUUGGCAGUUUCAUGGCCUUGAAGAAAUUGAAUGAAACCUGUUCUUCUCCCAAUCUCAGUAUCAACUACCCAUUCUGAACAUCGAUCAAAGCUCUGCCUGUGGCCAAGAAUGGUCUGCCCAGUAUUAAAGGAACAUCUUUAUCUUCCUCCAUAUCCAGAAUCAGAAAAUCUGCUGAAAAUAUGAACUUCUCCACUUUAACCAAUACGUCUUCAAUUAUUCCUUGUGGAUGUGUCAAUGAUCUGUCAGCCAGCUGUAAGGUCACCGUGGUAGCUUUAGCUUCUCCCAAUCCUAAUUUCCUGAAAACAGACAAUGACAUUAAAUUAAUACUUACACCAAGAUCACAUAAAGCUUUAUCAAAAUACAAUUCACCAAUGGUACAAGGGACAGUGAAACUCCCUGGAUCUUUCAAUUUUGGUGGGAGCUUUCUCUAAAUCCUGGCACUGCACUCAUCUGUUAGCAUAACUGUCUCGUGAUCUCCUAACUUCCUUUUGUUUGAUAGGAUGUCUUUCAGGAAUUUUGCAUAGCUAGGCAUCUGAACCAGUGCUUCAGCGAAUGGGAUGUUGAUAUGGAGCUUCUUGAAGACUUCGAGAAACUUCUUGUAUUGCUGUUCCAUCUUUUGCUUUUUCAGCCUUAGUGGGAACGGUAUGGGUGGCUCAUAGGGGUUCACAGCUACAGUUUCUUUAUCCCUUGAGUUUCCUUUAUUUGCUCUCGGUGUUGGCUCUUCUGUCUGUUCUUCUUGCUCCAAAAUCUUUUCUACUUCAGGAGACAUCUCUUCUCUGUUUGCCACGGGAUUAUUCACUUGUCUCUCAGGUAAUUCCACUCCACUUCUCGUUGUUAUAGCCUUUGCAUGUUCUUUCGGAUUGACUUCUGUGUUACUUGGCAGGCUGCCUGGUGCUCUACCUAUUAAUGCAACUGCCAUCUAUCCCAUCUGAGUUUCCCAAUUCUUAAUGGCUACAUUCUGGUCCUGAAGAGUGGCUUCUGUCUUUCUCAUGAAUUGGUUGUUCGCCUCCAUAUAUUGGUUGGUCUGUUCCAUGAAUUUGCCGAACAUUUCUUCCAAUUGAGGCUUCUUCUCUUGAUGUUGAUAUUGCCACUGUAGCCUAUUCUGAUUUUGGUUGCUCCAAGAAAAGUUGGGGUGUUUUUUCCAGCUUGGGUUGAAGGUCUCUCGAUACGCGUUAUUCUGCUGGCAUUGUUCCCAUUGAACAAAAUCUGUUUGCUCUUUUCCUUGUGUCAAAAUUGGACAUUCUGCUGUCAUAUGCUCAGCUCCACAUUCCUCACAAUUUGCCUUCUUUGUCUAUGCUGAGUUAGCUGAUUGGGUAAUGUUUUCUACCUUGUGAAAUUAGGAAUCAAUCUUAACAGAUAACGCUGAAUAUACAUCCACUUUAUAAACUCCUGGGGUCUUCUUUGGUACUGCUCGUUCCAUGGUCCGCAUUGCUGAGGUUGUAGCCAUUGCCUCACAUAACUUCAAUGCUUCAUCAAUUGUUUUUGUGGACAAUGACCCAUUAGCUGAAGAGUCGACCAUGCUCUUGAAAGCUGGAAAUAGCCCUGCAUAGAAAUAUUGGACCUGAAGUCCCUUGCUAAUCUCGUGGUGCGGACACUUCCUUAGUAGAUUUUUGAAUCUAUUCCAAGCCUCAUCAAAAUUCUCAGAUUCACCUUGCCUGAAGAUAGAUAUGUCGUGCUUUAGCUUUGCAAUCUUGGCCGGUUGGAAGAAUUUAGUACAGAACUUCUGAGCUAGGUCAUUCCAGGUAGUAAUGCUGGCUAUCGGCUGAGAAUCAAGCCAUUCAAUCGCUUUGUCCAGCAAAGUAUGUGGAAACAGUCUUAAUCUUAUGGCAUUGUCAGAGAUUCCUUGAUAUCUGAAGUGCUGGCACAUCUCUAAGAAGCGCGAGACGUGCGUGUGCGGAUUCUCUUCAAUUCUUCCAUAAAACUGAUGUUCGUUCUGGAACAAUUGUAUCACAUUUGUCUUCAACUGGAAAUUUGGCUGCCCGAACGAUGGAUACACAAUGCUGGACUGGCUUUGAAUGAUUUGAGGGGUCAUGAACUCUCCAACGAGCAUGUUUCCUUCGUCUUCUUCCCCUCUUUCAUUGUUUUGUACAACAGGAUUGUGUUGAACGUUCUCUAUCUGAUUUCUCCCUGCUCUGUUUUCUCUCUGCCUUCUUCUGAAGCUUCAUUUGAUCUCUGGGUCAGCUGAGAGUAGAUCUCCUUCAGCAGAUCUUGGCAUGUACUUCUGCAAUAGAAUUCAAUUUAAAGACUUAAGUAACUAAAAUAUGCACUUAUGUAAUAAAACUAACUAGCAAUAAAAUAAAAUGAACUAAAAUAAAUUAAAAAUAAAAAGUUUGAAUUAGUGCUAAAUUGAAUAAAAUUAAAUGAAUACUCAAUCCCCGGCAACGGCGCCAAAAACUUGUUCAUGAAAUAAUUCUUUCGAUUUAAAACUACCGCAAGAAUACAGUUCGUAACAAGUAAUAAAGUGGAUUUUAAUAAGUCCGAAUAUCGUCCCUCAGAGAUUGAGUAGUUCAAUUCUAUAUAAUCUAGCCUUAACCGAAUCUAAUUGAGUGAAAAUAUGGUCUAAAUGCAAAAAGCUUUAAUUUCAAUUAAAAAUCCUAAUUUCACUAAAAACCCUAAUUUCUAUUGAAAACCCUAAUUUCUCAAUUAGAAACCCUAAUUUUGAAAUUUCUCUAAUUUAAACGACACAAACACUCAAGUAAAUGAAAUUAUGCAAAUUCAAAAGCUAAUUUAUGGAAAUGAAUCAAACUAAAGUCACUAGGAUCACGAAUCCCCAAUUGAAGUUAUAAAAACCCUAAUUUCACAAAAUUAAUGAUCCGAUGGAAAUUUGCCAAUUCAAUGUUUCUAAUUCUAUCCAAUAUAUUCUCUCGAUAUAUAUUAGACCUAUUCUUGCACACCACCAGCCUAUAUCUCUAUGGAUGAUGCAAAUAUACAAGAAUGCAUGUAGUUUUGUGAACAAUUAAAGAAUUGCAUAAAGCAUAGGGGUAUAUCUCUAUCCCCUAUCGGACCCUAUGUUAAUUUACACCUUAUCGAACCUAUUCCACUUCUCUCGAAUGUAAGAAAUAAGUCAUCAACACUCACACAAUCAUUGGCCACUAAUUGCGGAAGAAAAUUAAUGCAUGUAAACCAAUCAAAUUAACCAAACGAGUCUUUAUAUUAAAUUCAUGAAAUAUGAAAUUAAAAUAACAAACAACGGUUUAUCGAUCACCUAAUAAUUGAAAACUUAGCCUAGAAUAUUCAUAAUUACAGAAAAAACGAAAUUAAUAAAUAGAAAGAAUAGCACCCGUAUGAAAAUUCCUUGAAUUCUUGAAUAAAACCUUGAAAACCCGCUUGAAUCCUUGUGAAAUCGGCUUCAAGUUCGUGUUUCUUGCCUCCAAAAGUUAUAUUUUUCUUCUCCUUGGACGUUCUGCCCUAUUUCUGAUGAAUUUUGGCUUUUAUACCAUGUCUUCACGGAGCCCCGAAGGAGUUUUAAUUGAAAACGGAAGUUCAGAAUGCUCGUCGGAUUUUUAAGCCAUGCGGGCGCAUGGUGUUAACCGAUGCGACCGCAUGGUUCAAGUGAUAUGCCCCAAAUAAAUCCCUGCUAGUUCAUGUGCGGCCGCAUGGUAUUGUUACAUGCGGUCGCAAGGUUGUAACUUUACAACCUUGCUAUUUUGGUCCCUGAACUCCGUUUUCUCUUUUCUUGAUCUCUUUUCUUUCUUUCCUUUAUUCCAUUAUCAAAUACUGACUCCUAAUUGAUGUUUGGGUCAAUCAAUUCCUUGAUCACUUGUUCGGCUCAUCUUUUGAUUAAUUACAAUUUAGUCCUUCAUCUUUCACUUUUCUUCAAUUCAGUCCAAUGGUACUUCUUUCUUCCUCUGAUCGUCUUGUAUCGUCCUCAAUCUCAUACUUGGCAUAUUUUCAUUCUAGUUCUGCACUUUAGCUCAACUUUCCAAUAUUUGCACCUUUGGUCCCCGAACUAUCGCUUUGUUUCGUUUUGGUCCUUUUUCGGCUCCUUUCUUCUGAAUUUCAUCUUUUCCAUAGAAACACCUACAUUGCAUGAAUUUAACGAGAUUAAGUCACAAUUCAACAACUUUGUCCAUAUUUAAGUCAUGUUUGUGAGCUAAAUAAGUGUGUAAAAACACACUUAUCACUUAUAAUGGUUUUGGAAACCUUAACAUUUAAUAUGGUUUCGAGUUUACAAAUAAAGGAUUUGACUUCAUUACAUUCUUAUUUAUUUGUAGUGUACAAUGUUUCUGGAUUUACUCUUUAAAAUUUGGAAAGAAUUUUAUACAGUAAUUGUAAUUGUCUUGUGAAGAUUGCUUGGUGGUGGAUACUGAAUACCAUACCGCGGCAGCUCUAUGCUUGUUUGAAUUUAGGGCCAGGCAAAACUCCUAAAUCGAACAAUUCUUCUUAAAUUAAAUAUCCGAAUGGAUUUCUGAAUCGAGAACCGACGUGUCCGGUUCCGUUCUCGAUUCUAGAUCAAGAAUUAAAUCUUCCUAAUUUUUUUAAUUUAUUUAUUUUAAUUAAGUCAAAUUAUUUUAUUUUUUCUAAGUAAAUUUGCUAACUAAUUAAUUUAGUUCAAAUCCAAAAAUAUGAUUUUACUAUUUCUAAUUUUUAGUACAAGCCCAAUUUAAUCAAGUUGACUUAAAUUUUACCCAAAUCUAUUAUUUUAUUGUAGUUACAAUUCUACUGUUCUAGAUAAAUCAAAUUGAAGCUUGACAACUCAUUUCUUAAUCAUUGUAAGCUCAUUAUCAUCAUUAUCCUGUGAUUUUAAAAUCAAAUAUAUGAAGAGCUCAGCAAACAGAGAUGCAAAAGACAUAUAAAAUUGGAUUACGUUAUUUUGUUAGAGUUAAAAUUGAAUAUGUCAUUAGUUGAAUUAAUAUAACUUUGUAAAUAUUAAAAAAAUUAAUUAUAGUACAGAACAUGGAAAUUAAACCGAAAUCGAAUGAAAUUGAAUCCAAACGGUUCCGUAAUUAAAUGUGGACCCGACGGUUCCACUUACUAAAUAUCCAAAAAUUUCGGGUUCGAUCUGGUUCUAAAAAUCAAAUCGAACCGAACCAGACCAUGCUCACCCUUAUUUGAAUAUGUGAAGUUCCAUUUUUCCACAUAAAAAUUGUUCUACUCACUGUCGGCAAAGUUUUAGAGGAUUUUUAGAACUGAAUAUUUAAUGCACUUAAUACAUGCUUGAUAUCUAAAUAAGAUAGUAAUGUGACAAUUUGUCCCUUAUCGUGUCUAUUAUACUCAUAUUUACCAAUUAAAUUUGAAGUAGAUACUUGUUUCGCGGGGGUAGUCGCUAACAAUUAAAAAAGGGGAUAAAACGAUUGUGUAAAGAACAGACCUUUUGAGACAAAGUCCCAAAAAGGGGUGUUUUAUUGGCGAUGAUUUACAAUUGAAAAUAAACAGAAUGCCUCCAAGGGAAGCAAGCACACGAGUACUAAAAGAAGUGUUUAAAUUUAAGCUUAGAAAUUAAAAUUACAUAUUCUCUAUUUGAGAGUGUUUUUUAUUCCCUUUUUUUUCUCUACGUCUUCUCUUCCUUUUUAUAUUCCCUUGAUGAUUUCCUCGUGACAAACCGUUUGAAAACUGCUUGAUCGCUUUAUAACUACCCACUUUCUUUAUGGUGGCUAACUUGUCGUGGAACUGCCGUCUCUAACUGCUGCCAUUAUUCUUUGUCGUUCAAUCGCUUUCAACUGGGCUCCUUGAAUCGUGGAAUGUGAUAAAAUUACUCAAUAACUGCUUCAAUAAUUGCUAUUCUGGAUAACCAUAAUAUUUUAUGUUUGUUAAGAUCCUGGGCGAUUCGAAGGUUUGGGCGAGAACGGGGUCAUCGCUCUGGGCGACCGUAAGGUACUCCAUUUGCUCAGAUUCUGGGCGUCUUGCAAGCUUGGACGAUGAUAUUACUGUAUUCGUGGGCUUCCACUGUAUUCAUCAAUAAUCCUGUUUGGACCUUUAUCCUGGACUCCCCAAUUGAGCUUCACUCUUUGGACUAUUUGAUUUGUGCUGCACUUUUAGUGUGUCAACAAUUACCCCCCAAUAUGACAUAAUUAAUUCCAAUUAUUAAUUUUUGUCAUAUUCACUUUGUAUUUUCCAGCAACAUUUGAAAUUCCCAAGAAUUUCAAUUAUUAUUUCCUUCUAUAGCUUGAAAAGGUGCAUCGUUACAAACUCUUAUAAACCCAAAAGACACGCCAUUUCAUCGCACCACUAAACUACGUCUCUAUAUUUCGCGCUUCCUCCUCACUAUUUUACUGUUCAUCUUCUUGCUUCUCUGCUACGUUUCUCAGGCAGAUCUUAACAAAACUGUACUUUGCACCUAAUGGCGACUUCACAAACUUUAUAUGAUGAUUCUUUUAGUUUCGAAGAUUUCCAGAAAAUCCUUACUAGGCCAUAUGUAAAUCCAAACUUCCUUGCACCAGCCAAUGCUGACCUCAAUGAAUUCUAUCUGGGUCCAUCAUUCAAUAAUGCCGAAGCUGUUGGACAAGUGGCGGUGGGCCAGCUGUUUCCUUGCACUCAAAACCCUCCGUUCCUGAACUCUCUGCCAUUGUGGCCGAUUCGCAAAAAAGGUAUUCGCACUUGGCCCAAAGCUGAUGUUAUUUUUCAUAGAUGGCAUGCACGUCUUGUGAAUCAUGACCCUACCAAGGCGAUUUGAUCGUGCUAGGAUUUCAGAUUUAUUAGAAAUCGCUCUUUAACCCCCAAUUUUCGACCCAGUGCUUUUUUCUAUUGCUUUGAGUUUUUGGUCUUUUGAAUAUAAUACCUUCGUUUUCCCUCUUGGUCCCGUGUCUAUUACUUUAAGGGACUUGGAGCCCUAGUAAAUCUUCCGCGUUUGGGUGAUACCAUCUUUCCUGGUAUCUUGAUUUCCAGUGUUGGCUCGAAAUUUGACAAGAAACUUACUGAGUCCUAUUCAAGCAUGCAAGGCUUUUAUAAUCAUUCAAGUGUUGAACCUUCCCACACUGAGUGUGUGGCCUUUCUUCAAAUUUGGCUCUGUAAAUAUAUUCUCUGCGUGCCAAGUAUGAAACCUUCUAUGAGCUACUUACCUAUAGCGCAUGAAUUGGCGUAUGGUAGGCCUUUGAACUUACGUUCCUUCUUUUUAGCUACCCUUUAUAGAGGCAUGACUUCCCUUCAAUCUCAACUGAAGAAUGAUGCAUCUCCCACUGACAGUGGGCCUCUUUGGUUCACUCAACUGUGGUUGAGAGCAUACUUUCCACCACUUGGUGCUCCAUCCAUUUCUCUUCGUUCUGCUAGCUGUUAUGGGCUAGCCAUUGACUCAUUGAAACAUGUAAAUAUGUCCAGUAGGGACACUUUUUCAUUCAUUUAUACCUUAAAUUUGAUUCCUUCCUUCUUUCCUUUUUCCUGCUCACUUGACUCCAUAUUAUGUGCAACCUCCAUCCACCCUGGACUGUGCGAGCGACUCUCUGCUUGUUUGGGUUCAGUUUUUGAUUGGGAGGAAAUUGUUCCACGAUAUUUUAACUAGAACCAAUGCCAAGGCUGGGGUUGAAAUAUAUGCUCCCCAAUUUUUUGCUCGCCAACUUGGUUUUGGCCAAACUUGGCUUGUUCCUCCUUGCUACUCCAAAAAUUUGACAGAUUGUUUUCACACUAUUAAUAAGGUAGAAGCACAAGCUGUAGAUGCUCGCAACAUUCUUUUGAUGAGUAAAUUUUCAUUAGCUCCUUUCAAUUCUAGCCGUGCCGUCCAUCCUCUUUUUGAAUAGCUCUGGCCAUCAGUGAAACGCAGAUUGUUUGCAACUGAUGCUAAUCCUGCCUUCCAUUUGCUGGAUCAGCCAGACACUUCCUCUACUUCUCCUAUUUUGGUCACCCCUGUGUCCAUUAGGAAUCCUUCUUCCCAUACUCGCACUAAACAUCCUAUCCGUCCAUCUGCUUCUCCACCUGCCAAGGCUACUGCAGCUAAAGGUGCCUUAAGCAGCAAACGGCCAGCUUCAGCAUCUCCCAUUUUGCGGGAUGAUAAUGAUGAUGAUGAUGACGCUCCUCUCAUCCUUAGGAGAAAGGUAAUUGAAUUUGUUUAUUCACAAACAUACUUUUCUAUGUACUAAUGGUUUACCUAAAUUUCUCAGAAAAGUUCAGCCUCUCUUCGAAGGCUUUGAUUUUGGCAACUCCUGCUUUACCAUCUUCUGCUAAAGCUGCUUCGUCCAAAUCAGCUGAUGAAGGGACUAUGCUUAAAGAGAAACCCUUAGUCCGAAAAUCUUCAUCACAGCCAAUAGAAAGGCCACCUUCUUCCCAGGGAGCCGUUUCCCCAAAUGUCGAACCAGAAGAUAAUACAUAUUUUGAUGUUUUACCUUUGCUUGUGCUAUUGGUUUCUAAUUCGUUGUUUCUUGAAUUAUGUAGAGGCUCUAUGGGCCUGCCCGUUCUGGCAGAGUCUUCUUGCCCAGAUAAGGGGAAGUCCCCACAGGUGGUGGAGCCAACUGGUGAUAUGCUUGAACUUCCCAAGAUUGCUGAUGAGGUACCUUUUGCUUCACUUUCAUUUUCGCUUCGUUUAUUGUAGUGAAAGCCCUCAAUGUUGGCAUUUUUCUUUGCAGGGUGCUGAUGACAUUGUGCAUUCCAUCUAGGACUUGUUCACUUCCUGGGGACAAGUCAAGACGUAUCGCCCUACUUCAACCAGUCAUCCUUCUGCUUCAUCUUCUGCUUUUUCAGAGGAAAAUAUGAAGUCUCUCAAGCAGUCGGUACUUGAGUAUGUGUCUUUUAUGGACAUGGAUAUAGGGCAGGCUAGUGCUACUAAAAAUAAGGAUAAGUUUGAGCUAUUGAGUGCGAAAUUGGCGCAAGCACUUACACUUUUGUCGCUCAAUGUUUCUGCUGACUUUAAAGCGACAUUGAAGGUUGUCCACUUUGACAUCCUCCCCUUGCUAGCUAAAAAUGUUGAACUGAAGGCCAGGAGUACUCAAUAUCUUUGUUCUACAUCUGAAAGAGUCUCUGCUUCUAGAGAUUAACAAAGCCGAGGAUGAAUUGAAAGAAAUCUCUUCCGACGUUAUGAUCGAAGACUCUUUGAUGGUAAGCUUGGCUGUAGAAAUGAAGGAGUUUCAAGCAAAGAUGAAUGACUGUAGGGCGAGAAUGGCUGGUAAAAAGCGUAAUGCUUCCCAAGGAAUUGAACGAACCAAGUCUUUGGUUGAGCAGUAUAAAAAGCUGGAGGUUGAUGACGAUUUUGUAACUGAAUUAAAUGUCGCUUCUUCUCAACAGAGCGAAGAUUGGGGAAGACUUAGGGAAAGAAUACGUUUGGCUUGGGGUGAAUUGUAAUUAAGACAUCCAAUGCCUUAACUUUCCUUUUGUAAUUUCGCACUAAUUGUCACUGCUAAUUUUGAAUAUAACAGCAGCUAUCGUCAUUAAUGAACGAUUAUUUUGCCUACUUGCAUAUUAAUUGACGUUGUCCUUAAUCGUUAACCCCCCAAGCAUUUAAUUGUUUUAUGCUAAGAUUCAUGUACAUUCUUUCUUGGUAUUCCCGUUUCUUUUCCUCAGACUUUGGGCCAUUUGAUUUCAGUUAUUAGGCAUGAAUGUGGCUGUUCAUAUUCUGUCUUUUCACCUUCAUGCCUCUAUAAAUGCGCGUGUAUUUCGCACUUAUCAUUUUCAUUUCUAUUCUUUUCUUCAAAAACUAAUUUGCUGCCAUCGUUUGACAUCUCAACAAUUGAUCCAAAAUUUUCGUCUUUCAUAGAAAUAGAUCAUUUGAUCCGCCCAUUUUGCUAUCUGUCUUGAUGUCACCUUUGGUAUGGGAGAUACAGAAAAUAUUCUUUGGCCAGCAAAGGUCUUCCCAUCGUCUCCAUGUUUUUUAUAAGGAGUUCAAUGAUGGAAGGCGAUUUUUGAGGAUGCCUUUCAAGCCACUUUGCUUACUGAGAAUGCUUCUCAGUCUCCUUGCCCGUUAUUGCAGCAAUGCGAUUAGGCAGGUGAUUUGAGGGUUUUUUCUUCCUUUUUGCUUGUUAAGAGUGCUUCUCGGCCUCUCUGCCUGUCCUUGCAGCAGUACAAUUAGGAUGGCGAUCAAGGUCGGUUCACCCUCUUACUUGGCGAUAGACCGAGAAAUUAGUUUGCUCUCAAUUGUAGCUCAUAGAGCAUUUAGUGUUUUGUAUCUCAUAAUUUGUAAUGAAUAUUUGAUAACAAAGAAAUUUAUUUGAACGUAUUUCGUUCUUGCCUUAUUUAUCUACGAUCGUUCAGCUCAAUUAUAUUGAUUAUGCUUUUAUUUGUUCAUUUUCCCAUAAGGAAAGAACAUACUUUUUUAAAUAUUUGCCAUUAAUGAAUCUCAUGUGUUUGGUGCCAUCUAAACCUUCUAAAUGAUAGGCUCCAUUAGGCAACACACUAUUUACUUUAUAUGGCCCUUCCCAGUUGGGUGACCAUUUGCCAUACUUUGGAUCCUUGCUAUCCAAAGGGAGUAUUGUUUUCCAAACCAAUUCGCCCAGACUAAAUGACUUGACUAUAACUUUUUUAUUAAAAAACUUAGCCAUCAUUUGUUUUUGAACUUGCAAUCUAUCUAGGACGUCAAACUUUAAUUUGUCCAACUCCAAUAAGUUUUGAACUAGUGAUUUGGUAUACUCACCAUCACUUAACUUAUGUUGCAAAUACACUCUAAUUGAUUGCACAUUGAUUUUCAUAGGCAAAACGGCCUCCUGUCCAUAAGUAAGUUGAAAAGGAGUAACUUUGGUACUUGACCGAGGCGACGUCCUAUAAGCCCAUAAGGCCUUGUUUAGACAUUCGUGCCAAUUUCUGGCAUUUUCAUCUAUCAUUUUUCUUAUGAUAUUUUUUAGAAUCUUAUUAGAAGAUUCUGCCUGUCUGUUGGAUUGAGCGCAAUAUGAUGUGGAGUUCACUAACUUAACUCCAAACUCGCUCAAGAAUUCCUUCACUUGAUCUCCAUUCAAAGAAGUUCCGUGAUCUACCAUCAAAUUUUGUGAAAUCCCAAACCUAUAAAUAAUAUGACCACGGAUAAAUUCUAUGACACUCUUUUGGGUGAUCUCCUCUAAAGGUAUCGCUUCUACCCACUUAGUAAAAAAAUCAGUUGCAACUAUAACAAAGGUAUGUUGCUUGGACGAUGGGGGAUAAACCUUCCCUAUCAGAUCUAUCGCCCAACCCUUAAACGGCCAGGGUUUGAUAAUGGGUGACAUCUCUCUCACUGGCGCCCUUUGUAUUGGACCAUGCUUUUGGCAUGCUAGACAACUCUUCGCAUAUUGAACACAUGAUUCUCCCAUCUUGGGCAAAAAAUAUCCAUUCCUAAUAAUUAACCAUCCCAUCUUUUGGCCAGCUUGAUGAGCUCCAUAUAUCCCUUCAUGCACUUCAACCAUGAUUGUUCUGGCUUCUUGCAAACUUACACAUUUUAGUAAUAUACCAUCAGAGCGUUUCUUAAACAACUCUUCAUCUAUCAAUGUAUAGUUUAGCAAACGCAAUUUCAUUUUCCUACUACCUCCUUUAUUAGGUUCUUUAAGGAACCUUUUAAUCUCUGCCCUCCAAUCUAUUGCAUUUUCAUCUUGUAUGCAAUGAAUUUCAAUCCUUCUCGCCCUUCUUUGGACUACAGGUGAUAUUACUCCAUAUUCACAAGUAGAUUUCCAAUUUAAAGCCUUUGAAUACCCUAAGACCAUCUGGACCAACUCAUUUGCUAUGUCAUUAUAUAUCCUAUUAACACAUUGAAGCUCUAUUUGGUCGAAUUCUUCCAACAAUUCUUGGGCGAUUUCAUAUUGACUUAUAAUGGAAUCACUUCGGCAUUUAAAAUCACCGAUCAAUUGGUGAAUUACCAAGUGAGAAUCGCCUCUAACAAUCACAUUCUUUAUCUUCAUAUCUAUCAUUAAUUCUAAGCCCACAAUUAAGGCUUCAUAUUCGGCUUGAUUGUUGGUACACAUCCUAUCCAAAAUGAAUGCGAAUUUGUAACAAAUCCCUAAAAGAUUUAUCAAUGCUACUCCUGCUCCUGCACCUUUAGAGGUUUUUGACCCAUCGAAACAUAAAACCCAAGGUUUUAAUUCGAACGAAUCGAUUUCCAAUUCAAUUUCUUCAGGCAUGUAAAGGCAUGGAUGAUUGGCCAGAAAGUUAGCCAAAGCCUGAUUUUUGAUUGCCUUUUGGGGUAUGUAUUGUAUUUCGAAUUCUGAUAACGCUAAAGUCCAAAGGCCUACCCUUUGGUGUAAAAUAGGGCGAGAGAACAUAUACUUAACCAAAUUUACUUUAGAAAUCAAAUAAACGGUUAUGGGCCGUAAAUAAGCCCUUAAUUUCGUACAUGUGAAAAACAAUGCAAGACAUAAUUUUUCAAUAGCAGAAUAAUUACGUUCACAUUUUGUUAA
This 39143-nucleotide long non-coding RNA is filed under the name Olea europaea (common olive). RNAcentral describes it as "long non-coding RNA (OEUR_LNC004378)". Lineage: Eukaryota; Viridiplantae; Streptophyta; Magnoliopsida; Lamiales; Oleaceae. The record is from RNAcentral.